Non-coding RNA from Triticum urartu, 26 nucleotides. NCBI's taxonomy places the organism in Eukaryota, Viridiplantae, Streptophyta, Magnoliopsida, Poales, Poaceae. The record is from Rfam.
UCCGUUGCUGGGUCGCCUGUAGCGGA